GCUGGAAUAGCUCAGUUGGUAGAGCGCACCCAUGGUAAGGGUGAGGUCGUGGGUUCAAUCCCCACUUCCAGCUCCA
This 76-nucleotide transfer RNA is filed under the name Candidatus Dojkabacteria bacterium. RNAcentral's name for it is "tRNA-Thr". It matches the Rfam family "tRNA". Rfam says of the family: Transfer RNA (tRNA) molecules are approximately 80 nucleotides in length. Their secondary structure includes four short double-helical elements and three loops (D, anti-codon, and T loops). Further hydrogen bonds mediate the characteristic L-shaped molecular structure. tRNAs have two regions of fundamental functional importance: the anti-codon, which is responsible for specific mRNA codon recognition, and the 3' end, to which the tRNAs corresponding amino acid is attached (by aminoacyl-tRNA synthetases). tRNAs cope with the degeneracy of the genetic code in two manners: having more than one tRNA (with a specific anti-codon) for a particular amino acid; and 'wobble' base-pairing, i.e. permitting non-standard base-pairing at the 3rd anti-codon position. The record is from RNAcentral.